AGAAUCAACGCUGGCGGCGUGCCUAACACAUGCAAGUCGCACGAGAAAGUGGAGCAAUCCACGAGUAAAGUGGCGCACGGGUGAGUAACACGUGAAUAAUCUACCUCCGAGUGGGGAAUAAACUGAGAGAAAUCUUAGCUAAUACCGCAUAAUACCCACGGGUCAAAGCAGCAAUGCGCUUGGAGAGGAGUUCGCGGCCGAUUAGCUAGUUGGCGGGGUAAUGGCCCACCAAGGCGAUGAUCGGUA
Molecule: ribosomal RNA, 246 nt
Filed under: uncultured bacterium
Lineage: Bacteria
Description: partial small subunit ribosomal RNA
Rfam family: Bacterial small subunit ribosomal RNA
Source: RNAcentral